This 72-nucleotide transfer RNA is filed under the name Fukomys damarensis (Damara mole-rat). It matches the Rfam family "tRNA". From Rfam's summary of the family: Transfer RNA (tRNA) molecules are approximately 80 nucleotides in length. The record is from Rfam by way of RNAcentral. Lineage: Eukaryota; Metazoa; Chordata; Mammalia; Rodentia; Bathyergidae.
UUGGGUGUAUCUCAGAGGGUGAGUGUAUGCCUAUAGUGCACAAGACCCUGGAUUCAAUUCCCAGCACUAAAA